Molecule: ribosomal RNA, 261 nt
Filed under: uncultured prokaryote
Description: partial 16S ribosomal RNA
Rfam family: Bacterial small subunit ribosomal RNA
Source: RNAcentral
UACGUAGGUGGCGAGCGUUAUCCGGAAUUAUUGGGCGUAAAGAGCGCGCAGGUGGUUGAUUAAGUCUGAUGUGAAAGCCCACGGCUUAACCGUGGAGGGUCAUUGGAAACUGGUCGACUUGAGUGCAGGAGAGGAGAGUGGAAUUCCUAGUGUAGCGGUGAAAUGCGUAGAUAUUAGGAGGAACACCAGUUGCGAAGGCGGCUCUCUGGACUGUAACUGACACUGAGGCACGAAAGCGUGGGGAGCAAACAGGAUUAGAUA